RNAcentral lists this small nucleolar RNA (74 nucleotides) under Helobdella robusta. Its description in RNAcentral is "Small nucleolar RNA SNORD24". It matches the Rfam family "Small nucleolar RNA SNORD24". Rfam says of the family: U24 is a member of the C/D class of snoRNA which contain the C (UGAUGA) and D (CUGA) box motifs. C/D box snoRNAs have been shown to act as methylation guides for a number of RNA targets. The record is from Rfam by way of RNAcentral. Lineage: Eukaryota; Metazoa; Annelida; Clitellata; Rhynchobdellida; Glossiphoniidae.
CAACAAUGAUGUCAAAAAUAUUUGCUACUCUUGAUGUAAAAUGAUGUUAACUUAACACCAAAUUAACUGAGUUC